This 253-nucleotide ribosomal RNA is filed under the name uncultured bacterium. RNAcentral describes it as "partial 16S ribosomal RNA". It matches the Rfam family "Bacterial small subunit ribosomal RNA", at positions 524 to 776 of the family's 1533-position model. The record is from RNAcentral.
UACGAAGGGGGCUAGCGUUGUUCGGAAUUACUGGGCGUAAAGGGCGCGUAGGCGGAUACUUAAGUCGGGGGUGAAAGCCCAGGGCUCAACCCUGGAAUAGCCUUCGAUACUGGGUAUCUUGAGUUCGGGAGAGGUAAGUGGAACUCCGAGUGUAGAGGUGAAAUUCGUAGAUAUUCGGAAGAACACCAGUGGCGAAGGCGACUUACUGGCCCGAUACUGACGCUGAAGCACGAAAGCGUGGGGAGCAAACAGG